RNAcentral lists this long non-coding RNA (218 nucleotides) under Capsicum annuum. Its description in RNAcentral is "long non-coding RNA (CANN_LNC011301)". The record is from RNAcentral. Lineage: Eukaryota; Viridiplantae; Streptophyta; Magnoliopsida; Solanales; Solanaceae.
GUGUGGUGGUGAUGAAUUGUUUAGAAAUUUCUUGAUUAUUUGUUUUUCUUAUAUCUCUCUAUCUUAUUAUAUGCUCGAAGUUUAUCCGAUACUCAUGGUUGAUAUAUUGGUUAGGUGAGGUGAAGGGGGUAAUAUUCAUUCCGCGUGGGACUUGAGAUACCCAUCAAGGCCAGACUUUAGUUUGGGUUGUUACAAAAUUGGUAUUAGGGUCUAGGUUC